AAAGACUGGUUUAGUCUUUAUGUAAGACAUCAUGAAUCGUGUCCCAUAUGCUUCGGAUAUAGGAUCGAUUACAUGUGCUAUAUUCAUCCGUUCUAAAAUUUUCCAAAUGCCUGGGGCAUUAAGAAGGGAAAAGGUUUAGAACUGGAUAUGACUAAAAGGAUUAAACAAUUGUCGAGGACAAUCUAAGGUUUACCAAAGAUUGGUUACUCAAGGACAAUUGGAAGUAUAGUGAUAAUUCUGGAAGGACCAUAUUGACAUAAUCUGUAAGGAGGCAACUCUUGUUCAGAAGUGAUAGUCAAAAUGGAAUCUGGAAAUGUUUCAAAGUUAGAAUUUUCAAUCUGUGUAAGAUUAAGGAAACUUAAUGCAAGAAGGAUAUUUCCAAGGAGUUGAUCUCCUUUGGAAUACUCUGUAAUGAUUGUUGCCAAGUCUUUGUGACUUUGUGCAUAAUCAUUACAAGAGGAUCAAUGCAUAUAAGUUUAGAAUCUAACAGAUUUCAGUAAAUGGCAUGAAUUUGGAAUUCUUGCAUUUGCAGUAAGGAUUUGGGAGUGUGAAAAGAGAAUCAUUGAAGUUAUGUUCAAUUGAUCUAGUUCACAAAGUAAAGAUCAUAGACAAACAUAGUAUGCAUACUUGGUGUGUGGCAUGACUAGUGUUUAAGAAAACAUAGUGUACAUGCUUGGAGCAUGGGACAACUAUUGUUUUAAAUUCAAGAAUAAAGUUGAUAGCUGAAACAGUAUACAAUGAAUAAUGUGUAAUCAUAUGGUGAUAAAUAAAAGGUGUUUUAUUUAUGUUCAAAGGGUUGAUACCAUAUUGGAUUCAAUUAUUAUUGUGUUUCAUUUUGCAUGUUUUGACUUCCCGAAUAAACUGGGUUAUUCUUCCGGAAUGACUAAGUUAUUCAAACCAUCCACAGUCGGUCAUAUGUUGGAAGUAGAUAUGAAUUAAGACUGUCAUGGGUUGGCUUGUAGAGGUCUAAGGUGUUGGACAAAGGGCUACAACACUCAUGAGUGCUCAUAAGUUCUGAGUAUUGGAUUCAACCCGCGCUCAUUGGAAUCACUUCAUGGAUUUUAUCACGAGUGAUCAUGAGACGAUAAUAUCUUAUAUUCUUCAAACCUAGAGAUAUGAGUUGUUACUAUGAGUUGAUAGUACAUUGAUUGCACGAAAACGCAUUUGGUAACUCGGUGCUAUAAAACGUGCCUUUGUGUAUGAUUCAACAAGUAGUAGAACAAGCCAUAUGAGUCGAAGUUUAUCCAUUCCUUUUACCUUCGGGAUAAAAGCGAUAUCUGUGGGCCCCUCGAUGAUUUGAUGAUGACAAAUGGAAGUGCUCGGCCGGGCCAGGACUGAUUUGAUUUGUUCAAUUAGUCAGUCGUCAUAAAUCGGAAAUCGGGAAACAACAAAUGGACAGAGAGAAUGAUUAUAAUCCAUGUCUCAGUCCAUAUGAUAUCUAGAAUGGAGGAAUAUAUGAUCCCUUAUCUAAUGGACAAGUCAUUGACAAAGGUCAGAGUUCAUCUACAAGGUCAGAGUUCGACAGAAGCUUUUGAGAGCUACGAUUGCCAGUUGGUUCCUGAAGUCAUACGCAAUAAUAGUUUUAGACUUAUCCAAGUGGGAGACUGUUGGAUUAAUGUCUAAGUCCAUAACUAUAAUUGGUAAGACUUGACCCGACCCGGCAUGGUCCAUUUGGGUUGCAUACCAUCAUGCACUUGGAUAGACUAUAAUGAGAGAAAUAAGACACUUAUGGUUAUUAAUAUAUUAUAAGUUCUAGUAUAUUAAUAAUAAGAAUAAUAAGAUUAUUUAAUUAGUAUUGAUCAAGAAUUAAUCUAGGAUUAAUUAAGUGAUCAAAAGAAGACUAAUUAAAUAUAUGGGUUGAUUGUGUAAAUCAUCCAUACUUGUAUAGUGGGCUAAUGCUCCAUGGAUAAUCAAGUUGGGCUAAAACCCAUAGGAUGGUCCAUGGAUGCUCCAUGGUGUAUUUGUACCCAUGGAUCCAAGGAAAUGGAAAGCCAUGACAAUUAAGAGUUUACCCUAAUUGUGUAACUAUAUAAGCAUCUUAUUAUUGAGGAAAAAUCGGCCACUAGUGAUAGUGAAGAAAGGGCUAGCCGAUUUUGAAGAGUGUAGAAUUCUCUCAAGUCAUUCCAAGUGUUUUGAUGAUUGUGAUUCCAUUUGAGGUGUCACACUUGGGGCACUAGGCACUCAAGCUUCAUGAAGACUUUCUACAUCAAAGAGGUAUGUAUUCUAUCUUGUUAUAGUCAUUGUUUUGUAUGCUAGAUUAGGAUAAUACCUUGGAAGUUCUUAUUUGCAUGUAUAAUAGAGAAAACAUAGAUCCAAGGUAUUUAGGGUUGCAUGUACACUUAGGAGUGUUAGAAUGCUCAAAACCCAACAGUGGUAUCAGAGCCUAGGCUUGUUUUCUUGUUAUACCUGCAAUAGAAGCUGAAAAAACGAAUCUGGUGCUGUCUGGCCAUCAGACUCGGCGAGUCCAUCAGGAGACUCGACGAGUCCAUGCCUAAAAAGUGAUGAAUUCGAUCCAACUCGCCGAGUUUGUUCAUGCACUCGACGAGUUGGACCCCCAGACAGCAUAUUUUCGAGUUUUUUGGCUAGAAAUGGACUAGGAACAUUACCCUAAGUUGUUUUUGAACUUAUAAACUUGUUUUUGAUGUGGUAAUGUUCAUGCUAAUCCAUUUUCAAAGAUAAUUGUCAAUAGAUUCAUGUUUUGUAUUAGUUUAAGGUUUAGACUAAUUACAUGAAAAAGUUUGAUUUGAAUUAUCUUGUUCUUAUGAGUUGCUUAGAUUAAUAGAAAUGUUGAGUGAAAUAGUUGUUUUCAAUCCAUUUUAAUCUAAGAGUUGAGUAUAAAAUGUGUUUGUGUAACUUGUCCUCAAGUUACAUGAAGAGUCACAUUAAAGACUCAUAAAACUCAUAAAAGUUGGCAAUGGUUACAAAAUGAAGAGUCUUGUGUCAUUGAAUAAUUUUUUUUGACUCCAUAACUUGUCCUCAAGUUAUGGAAGUUCAAGAGUCACUUCAUUAAAGAAAAAUAUGUAACCAUAAUUAAAUCCAUAAGUUAUAAAAUAAAGAAAAAGUUAGUUCUUUUAUUAGUUUAAAGUCUUCCAUAACUUGUCCUCAAGUUAUGGAACUUGAAGAGUUUUUGGAUUAAAACUACUUUAAACACAUAAGUUAUGGAAUUAAUUAGUUUUGAAUAGUUUCAAAACUUGCCCUCAAGUUUUGGAAUUUGAAAAGUUUUCAAGUAUGAAUACUUUAAUUCCAAGUUAGCCCUUAGAAUUUUAAAAGUUAAAAUUCAACCCUUAUACUUUAUAAUAUUAUAAGUUAAUAAUAUAUAUAUGUAUAAGAGUAAAGUCAGUCUUACCGCUAGUACGCCUCAUUCACGAAGCCGGUCUAUAAGGUGGGUAUAAGGUUGUUGCCUAUAAAAUGGCAACUUAAUGGGUGUCCACUCUCACCCACCGCUUGCUUGACUGGUGGAGGGUCGUUAGCCGAACGGGUUUGACAGGACUAGAAUUCUCCCUUCAUUAAAAGUAUUAAUGAUAAUACUAAGUAACUAAACUCUUAAUAAUACCCAAUCUUAGUUACUUAGGAAAAAUGUGAAUAAGGUGCUAAUCCAUGAAAUUACACUUUACACUUUGUCUAAGUCGUUAGUGGAGCGUGUGUGGUUAACCGGCACACUAACUUGGACUUAACAAGGUAGGUAAAGGGUGACUUAAUAUUUAUCAUAGUAUCGAUGGAGCGUGUGUGGUUAACCGGCACAUCGAUUGAGGGGUAAUUUAUUAAGGGUACCAAGUGAUUUGCAUGGUUACUUCACACCUUGUUUUGUGAUCCUCGGCAUCCCAGUCACAAAACCUGAAGGGCACACUCGAGAUUGAAACAUGCCUUUGAAAAGUUCAAUGAAUCUCAAAGAUCUAGGAGUUUCAAAACCAAUUAAAACCUAAUAAUACAUUUCGUUUAUCUUGGUGGAAAUUGGUGAAUCGUCAUUCACCUACCUUCAAAUAUUUUAUAGCUUGGAUUACGGCAUACCUCUUCUAAGUUAUAAAAUAGUUUGUUGGGUCCUAGCCUUAAUAUUUCAUAUUGGGUGUCAUAUUAAGGACUUUAAAUCAACUAUCUUGAAUAUCUCCCAAAAGAUGUCUGGUUUAGACACCUAUGAUCUUCCCAAAUCUCUUGAAACAAGGUUUCCUAAUGAAGAUGAUGUCCCAUGGAUAUCAUACUUCUUCACCUCUUCAAAUUAUUCUCCCUAACCCACAAGUUCUUGAAAAGUUUAAGGUCACUCAGGCCCUAUUAGCAAGGCAAGGUCUAGGUGUGGUCACAUCUUGGAGAUGUAGUCACAUAUUGACAAGCCGGGAGAGUUGGGUGUCAAAGUCUUGAGAAAGUUGGUGGUUCAACCACUUUCUAAGUCACAUAGUGAGUUCCUUUGGGACACCUAUGAAACAGACUAUGACAAGACCCUUAAUGAUCUUAUCUAUUUGCUAAGAUCAACUUCCUAAAACUUUAUGGACAUUGACAAUGAUGACAUUGGAUAUCCAGUAAAGCAUUCUCUUCCCAAUGGAAAGGGAUCGGCCAUAGUCAACUCGGUUGACCAAAUGGUAAAGAGAAAAGCUAAGUCUGUGAUAGUCCCGUGUACCAUUAUCAAAGGGUCCAUAUGUUUAUAUUGCCAAAGGAAGGGGCAUUGGUUGCGAAGCUGCCAAAUUUACCUAAGGAUGUUAAAGUCAAUAAGUUUGACUCUACUUCAGGUAAAGUCCACUAUCUAACUCUGUUAAGUUUCUAUUCUGAGAUUCUUGAUACAUGAUGUGACUGGGUCACAUGGUGAUGUUUUAAGAAUCAAAGAAAAGUGAAGAAACUUAAAGAAAGAAUAUGCUGAAUCUGAUGGCGUAGAUGGAUUUCUAUCGCAUAGUUUGAAGAUCGGAUUCUUGAGCUACUUCUUAGGAGUUAUGAGAUAUUGCUUAGGAAUAGAUAACAACAAGUUUUCAUAUGGAUUGUAAGGAUAAGUUUUUCCGCAAAGUUUUAAAAUAAAAGAAAAUUUUUUUGAUUUUAUUUAUUUUAAAAUAUCCUUACAAUGGCUUUUGAGGAAAAAUUGUUGCUUAUAUGAUUCCAUUAAGAGCAAGAGUGGAAAUAUGAAAUUGAUUCUUUCAUUUGUGGUAAUGUCUAGAUUUACCAAAUAAGGAAAGAUUCUCAUCACCCAAGUUUCAAUUGGACCGGAACUUGGAAUCAUGCAAGUUGUAUAGCAUGAUGAAUGAGAACUUUCAAGUUUUGGAAAAUUAAGACUAAUUACUUGUUCACAUGGAUGUGUGAGUCAAGUAAAGGACUAAGGGAUCGAGUACACAUUCUUGUGCACUGAUUAAGUCCACCACUAAAGAUCGAUAAGAAGAAUCAAAUAAGGCAGAAGGAUAAAAGUUUCUCAAAUCUGAAAAGAUGGGAGAGUACUUUAGUAUCAGUUUUGUGAUCAUCUUAAUGAUUAAGAAACCAUAUCAAAAUUAGUUCUCUAAGGAAAUCUUAGUGCAUUCUUAUGACUAAGAAGAGGAACUUGAAUUGUUGAAAUGGUUAAAUCAAGAAGAUGAGUCAUACUUCGUUCCAAUACAAGUCUUAGAGUCAUACUCCAAGAUUGUCAUUUGAGUGACAUGUCUUAAAGAAGGUUUAAAACACUUGUCAAAUGUAAGAGUAAAAGUUUUCUACUCUUGUACAUUUGAAAUUGGUAAGUUGUGAUGUUUUGGAUAAAACAAAGACCAACUUAGGCCAAUUGGGUAAAGUGUUUUUCUUGAUUAGAAUCCGCACUAUCUCUUGGAUGUUUGACAAGGGAGUCUUAUAUGUCAAGAGGACAGUGGGAGUCUUAAAGGUCUUGAAAGUCUCAAGAAAUAAUCAAGAAUAAAACCUAAAGUUCUUCACUAGCACACGACUUGAGGUUUAUAACCUAUCGUGUUGACAUAUCUGUGCCCAUUCCAGUUAAAGUUGGCUUUGCAUAUGAGUUCUUAGAGUUCUCAGUUUGUUGCAUAACAACUUGGAAGCAAUGGCAGGCCCUUGAGCUGCCAGGUGGCAAGAAGUUAAGAUUGAGUUCAAUCCAUAUGGUUUUGGAUUUGUCAUUAUCUUUGUCUUGUGAUUAUGGUUUGACAAAUUCAUAUGGGUAGGAACUCAUACACCAUAUAAAUCUAAGUGUCAUAAGGUUUCUCUCCGAUUCAUGAAAAUGAUGGUGAGGAAACGCUUUCACUAAGUAGAUUUUACGAAGAUAUCAAUUGUGUUAUUUGCAUUUUCAAAAGUCGUUAGUGGAGCGCGUGUGGUUAACCGGCACACUAACAUGGACUUGUGAGAAAUGGCAAAUGCCUAAGCAAUUGAGACCAUGAUUACGGUAUCCCUUUUCAUGGUUCUUGAAAUUGCUUAGACACACAGGUGAGCUAUCUACGGAAAGGGUGUAUGAAUCUAAAUUUCAGACUGUCCAGCUGAUUUCUGAGUACAUGUCAAAGCUAGUGGGAGCAUAAGUGUUAUGCUAAUAAUCAUCAUGUUAGUGGGAGCAUGAUAAUUAUGAUAAGUAUUGCAAGUUAGCAAUGUUAAUUAUAGAAAACAAAAGUUUCAAUUGGGAAAAAGUUGUUUUGCUAUAAUUAAGGGAGAGGAAAUUAUGCUUCAUCUCAAAUCUAUAAGCUUAGAUCGUGAGGUUUUAAUCAUUUAGUCAAGGAUAUAUAUGAAUUUCAUGUUGGAAUGGCUCAACAUAAGGAAAUUCUGUAUAUGGGUCCAUUAUUUGCGUUCUAAAAUUCGAUUAUGAUUACGGCAUCCCUUUUCAUAAUCUGAAUUAUGAGAACUUGGCAAAUUGAAAUGGAAAUAUUAUAGCAAAAGACUGGUUUAGUCUUUAUGUAAGACAUCAUGAAUCGUGUCCCAUAUGCUUCGGAUAUAGGAUCGAUUACAUGUGCUAUAUUCAUCCGUUCUAAAAUUUUCCAAAUGCCUGGGGCAUUAAGAAGGGAAAAGGUUUAGAACUGGAUAUGACUAAAAGGAUUAAACAAUUGUCGAGGACAAUCUAAGGUUUACCAAAGAUUGGUUACUCAAGGACAAUUGGAAGUAUAGUGAUAAUUCUGGAAGGACCAUAUUGACAUAAUCUGUAAGGAGGCAACUCUUGUUCAGAAGUGAUAGUCAAAAUGGAAUCUAGAAAUGUUUCAAAGUUAGAAUUUUCAAUCUGUUUAAGAUUAGGAAACUUAAUUCAAGAAGGAUGUUCCCAAGGAGCUGAUCUCCUUUGGA
Molecule: long non-coding RNA, 7203 nt
Filed under: Lactuca sativa (garden lettuce)
Lineage: Eukaryota; Viridiplantae; Streptophyta; Magnoliopsida; Asterales; Asteraceae
Description: long non-coding RNA (LSAT_LNC002936)
Source: RNAcentral